Molecule: long non-coding RNA, 4487 nt
Organism: Spinacia oleracea (spinach)
Lineage: Eukaryota; Viridiplantae; Streptophyta; Magnoliopsida; Caryophyllales; Amaranthaceae
Exons: 4
Source: RefSeq, a predicted model, not a curated record
UUUUAUUUCUAUUUCUUAUUAUUAUUAUUAUUAUUAUUAUUAUUAUUAUUAUUAUUAUUAUUAUUAUUAUUAUUAUUAUUAUUAUUAUUAUUAAUCGAUAUUUCUUUUGUUUUAUUAUGUUUCCGAUUUCUACUCUCGUUUUUGUUUUAAUUGUGUAGGUAACGAGUUCAAUGGGUCGGUUUAAAGGCAAGGCAAAAUGCAAAAGCUAUCCUACACCACAUCUCCACUAUCAUACACCACAUCAAUUGUUCCAUCUCCUUCCCUGCUGCCAACCACCAACACCCUUCGUACCAAACCACCAUCCCACGCAUCAAGCAACAACACCAACACUGCACCUGCAUCUCCACAUCGCCACAAACAUUCAAUCAUCACCAUAAUUGUAUCAACACCAAACGCAACAACAAACCCAAAAUAGCAAUCAAAAUCAAGUGAAAAACAUAGCAAUUGGUUCGGUCGAACCCGAAUGAAGUUCGCCCAAACCACAAGUAAGUUCGACCAGAUCUUUUUCAGGUUCGUCCGAACAUUUGAACGAGUUUGGUUGUACGGAAUUAAUGAAGUCACGUGGAUGCACUCGUGGUUGAGGUUGGUGGAAGAUCAACAGUGAUGAUGGUCGAUUGAUUGUUGCUCGACGAGUCGAUGGUGGCCGUUGAUGAGGAUGAUGGCGAUUGAAUGGGUGAUGAAUUGGAGGAGGAUAGAUGAAGAUCGACGGCCUUGAUGAUCGAUGAUUGAUUGAUCCUGAUCCGUUAAUGAGGGUUAAUGAUGAUGAGAAGGAGGGGAGUGAAACUCCAUGGGCGGAGCAGCGAAUUGCAAACCAGGCGAAGCAACGAAGAAGAAAAAAUUGGGUCUGGUUGUUUUGAAAGAAAAUAAGGCUGAAUGUUUUUGGGCCUUUGUUUUGGUUUCUGUCUGGAUCCGUUUUUGGUCUCCUUUUUCUUUGGAAUCCUCUUUUCUUUUCUCCACUCACUUUUCUUUUCAUUUUUCUCUUCUUUUCAUUUUUCUUUCUUUCUUUAUUUUAUUUUAUCCUUUUUUCCCUCAUAUUUUGUUUUCGAUUGAAUUUUCUCUUUUUUUUAAUUUUCUUUUUAGUUUUGUAGUAUAAAUACUCUUCUAUUUUUCUAUUUUUGGGGAGAGGUAAAUAAUUAGGUUUAGUUUUCUCUCAUUUUUUUAGGGUUUUCUUUAGUUUAGUUUCUAUUUUCUAAGAGUGAGAAAGUGAAGAAAAAUCAUUGAAAAUGGAGGAUUAUGGACAAUACAAGAAGAUUUGAAGCAUUUAUUCACCAAUCAAUGAGAAUUUUCUACCCUCCUUAUUUAUUGCUUAUUUAUUACUUUAUUUAUCAUUUUAAUUAGUUUAAUUGUUUUUGUUUAGUUUAAUGAUUCAUGUUUAGAUUAGUUGUUAUUAUUGUUUAGAAUCAUGUUUUUAGUUGUUAAUUUCCAUAAAUUUUGUGUUUUUAUGUUGAUUGAGUAGUGUUUUGAUUAGGGUUUGAUGAAAACUCAACAUUGAUUGGUUUGGGUGUUUGUGCUUAGAAAUUAGGGAUUUUCAUGAUUAAAUUAUCACAUGUUUAAGAAUUUCUGAUACAUGUUGCAUUUAACUUGAUCAAUUAAGUGUUCCAUGAUAGAUUGGAGUAGUCUAGUUGAGUUGGAAAGGGAUUAAAGACCUAAACUUGACUAUUUGGUUGAAUUGGACUUUAACUUACCCCGGGAUGAUAGUGUAGAACGGGAGUUCAUGUUUGAUUCUUAGGGAAAUUGCUCGCACGUCGGGAGAUAGUUGGAGCUAUUUGUGAAUUCAACGCCUAUUCAUGUAGUGCUUGUGAAUCUUCCCCGUUUUCAAUUCUUUUAUGUCCAUUCAAUGAUUUGUUGUUGUUUGACCCAUUCCCUAAUCUCGUUUACUUUUGAUUUCUUAGUUUAAUUUAAUUAGUUUUAUUCGAUUAGUGAUUUUCCAAAACCUCGUUUCGACCUAGCUUGUUGUUCGAUUAGCAUAAAUUAGCGCACCUUAGUCCUUGUGGAUUCCGACCCUUGCUUACCGGUUUACUUGUGUUUAGUGGUUAGUUUAGGUAAUUUGUUUGAUUAGGAGAGACUAGUAACGACCUAGUUUUCCCCGCGAUCAAAAUGGCGCUGUUGCCGGGGACUUCGGUUUGCAUUAGUUUGUGUUAGUUAGAUUAGUCUAGGUCUUUGUGCAUAGUUAUUUGUUUUGUUCGUUUUAUUUUGAAAAUUCCUAAAAAAAUGGAAACUAUCCCUAACUCUCAAAAUGAUGAAUCGUAUACACUUGAUGAUUUCACAUCUCUCCACCAUGAGCUUCUCCAUAAUGAGUUCCUUAAUGCUUUGCAAUCCGAGUCGGUCAUUUCAUUGUCCGAGUUUCGUCUUUUUAUAACUCAGUUGGAUUGUCAAGAAAAUCUUAAAAGGGAUUCGUUUAUUAAGAAAUUUGAGAUUGCUUCCCAAACUUUUGCAAAAGGUAUGGUAGAAGUUUCUAACCUACUAAAUGAAUCUAUUCGGGAUGCUUCAUGGAGAAGAGAUGAAUUUGAGGCUAAUUUGCCACCUAUGACGCAUGACAUUGAGGAAUUGAGUAUUGGGGAUUAAAUUCCUACUCAUUCCUCCUUGAAUGAGUGCCUCGAUGAUGGUGAUGAAGAGCUCUUUGCUCCAUUUUGUUCUCAAGUGCUCAAUUCGAUUCUAAUUGAGGGUGAUGUUGCCAUCCAAAAAGAGUUUCUUGAGGAGAGUUUGCCUAUUUGUUUUUCACUUCCUUAUUUUGAUUCUUCUUUUUCUUAUUUUCUUGUUUUUUCUUUUGAUCCUUCUUCUUUUAGGCAUCCCUCUCCUCAUUGGCAUAGAGUUGUAAUUGUUGCAUCUUGUCAUUGCAUACUUAAUAUCUUGUGAAAUGUGUUCUAGUGCAUUUGACAAGUUAUUGCGAUCUUUGAAUGGUUAUUUACUAGAAUGGUCAUGCUUGGGACAUUAAACAAGUCUUUCUCGGGAAGUAACCCGUGUUUUAUUUGUAACAGCCCUGGUUUUACGCAGCUUUAAAUCUAUCGUUAAGCAUAAAUUAUUUUCUUAAUUUGGUAUUUAAAAACUACUUUUGAAACUAAAUUGAGAUUAGGAUCUUGAAAUUUUAUUAAACUGGUGAAUGAAUUUGAGAUCUUCAUUAGUAUAUCUAAGCUAGUCUUCGAAUUAAUUCUCGAGUUUUACCUUGAGAUAAAUUUUUUUUUGGAAAUUUAUUUGUUUUAAGAGUUUAUAUUUUGUUAAUUUUAAAUUUAUUUAUUUAAAAUCGAUAAUUUUAAUGCAAUUAGGAUUUCUAUUUUAAAUCAAAUUAAUGAUAGUAUAUUAUUGUCUUAUUUUUCUUAAUUAAUUAGUUAUAGGAAUAUUUUCCAAAUUAGCUUAAUUUUAAACUUAUUCAAGUUGAAUCAAGCUAAAUGAAUACUCUCUUGCCUAAAGUCCUAUUUCCUUUUUUAGGUGAUGAGUCAUCAAACCAAACCAACAAUGUUUUCAAAACCAUGGUUUGGAAUAAAAAGAAACAGAAACAAAUCCCUCACUCAUUUUCUCUCUCCCCCUUGCCGUGCUUCCCUUUCCCUCUUCUCCCUGAGCUUCCUUCCCCUCUUCACUCGGUUGUCUCUCUCUCUCCUCCUCACUCCACCUCGACGCCCAACCACAGCGUCACUGUUUCCCUCGCCAGUUGUCGCCGGUGUUGCGGUUGUUGCUGAUUGUUGUGUGGCUUCACUGCCUCCCCUCCCUUCGUUCCUUUGUCCCCGCGCCACCGCCGCUAGCACCGCCUCCAUCGUCUUCGCUCCGUCGCCACUUCCGCUCCUUUGUGUUGCCGGUGCAUGUAGGGAUUAGGUUCCCUCGCCGGCGGCUUUAUGCUUCCCUUUCGCUCUGCUCCGAGUCGUGUCGUCGCCGCCGCCGCUAGUGGUGUUCACCAAUCCACCAUCACUAAUUCUUCUUCACCAAUUGGUAAUCAAUUUAUCUCCUUUCCUUGAUUUACUAUUUUAAAUUUCAAUUUCAAAAUCAUAAAACCCUAACUCAAUUUUUUUUUCCCCUGCUCUAUGACGGGGUGUCGUCCUCCUUCGCCGCCGGAGCCUCGAUGACCGUUGUUGUAGCUACCUUGAAUUGUUGUUGGUCGAUACUUCUCUGCCUCCUUGCUUCCUCUUGAGGGUGAAUUGUUGGAGAGUGUUUAAGGAGAAUUGGAUUACAAAGAUAAGAAGGGAUGUGAUCAAAGUGUAGUUCUUGGAAUAUAUGUAUCGGAUAUUGGAGAGUUAAAAUGUUUUGCAGGCAGCGAGAAUCGAGUCUCAGUUCAGGUUCAAGGUGCGUAGAAGUCCUCCAGAGGUUUUAUAUGCUUCAAGGCGGGCAUAUGGAUUCUCCAAGUGUAUUUAAGUCCUUCCUAAUUUAUUAAUGGGUUGUAUAAUUUGUUCUAGAAUUUUUCUUUCUUUGGGUUAUUAUUUAUGGAUUAUAUAUCCUUGUUGAGUUGGUGUCACUCUAAUGAUGUUUUUGGGAGAUUUAUAUGCUGGAAUGAUGAAAUA